RNAcentral lists this ribosomal RNA (75 nucleotides) under Gossypium arboreum. Lineage: Eukaryota; Viridiplantae; Streptophyta; Magnoliopsida; Malvales; Malvaceae. The record is from RNAcentral.
UCCGCAGUUAAGCGUGCUUGGGCGAGAGUAGUAAUAGGAUGGGUAACCUCCUGGGAAGUCCUCGUGUUGCACCCA